UCGUCUAGGUAGUUCAGUUAAUCUAUCAGGUGGUUUUAAUGCAGUUAAUGAUCCGUACCAUUGUGCUGAAUUCUACCAAUCAGAUGAGUGCAGCACAUCAGAGACAGAAUUACAGAAGUAUAUUCAAGAAGAAGUAGAAAACCGUCCUCCAAAUUUUAAUGUGCUAGAGUGGUGGAAGGUGAAUUCAAGCCGAUAUCCAAUACUUGCAAGCAUUGCAAGAGAGGUUUUAGCCAUACCGAUAUCCAGUGUAGCCUCUGAAUCAGCUUUCAGUACCGGAGGAAGAAUCCUUGAUGCAUAUCGUAGUUCUUUAACAUCGGCUAGUGUGGAAGCACUUAUGUGUACUGAAGAUUGGCUCAAAGGAGUAGUUCCAUCUUUUCUUAGUAGUGAGGAUCUCGAUAAUAUUGAUCGAAUUGAGGAUGAACUAUAUUCUGCGCCAGAUGCCGGAAGUUGCUCAUCCUUUGUGUCAGUUGUUGAUGAUUGAGGGUCCACAGGUUUGACUGAGAGAUUUGAACUUUUCAUUUGUGGUCGUGAACUAGGCAAUGCAUUCUCGGAAUUGACCGAUCCUAUAGAUCAGGUUGGAGAUGGCUUGGAUUGCCUUUGAAGAAGAUGGCCAUGGGAAAUUGUGGUUGAAAAUUGGAUGUUAAUGCUUAUGAGCUUAGAUUAAAAAUUAGAACUUUUAGGUCACAUGUUAGUUUAGGUUCAUUUUUGGAAUGUUCAUUUGUAAUGUGCAAUGAGUUUAUCAUGGAAACUAUGUAUUAAGAUGAACUUAUGGUUCAUGAUUAUGUAUGUGGACCAUUUUCUGAUAUGAUAUAAGUGUAUAGCAGAAAAAGUUGUCGGUUGUGGCAUU
Molecule: long non-coding RNA, 847 nt
Organism: Lathyrus oleraceus (garden pea)
Lineage: Eukaryota; Viridiplantae; Streptophyta; Magnoliopsida; Fabales; Fabaceae
Exons: 4
Source: RefSeq, a predicted model, not a curated record